This is a non-coding RNA of Xyrichtys novacula (pearly razorfish), 419 nucleotides long. The record is from the annotation of a GenBank genome assembly. NCBI's taxonomy places the organism in Eukaryota, Metazoa, Chordata, Actinopteri, Labriformes, Labridae.
ACUCGAUGCAGGGCCUUUCUUUCCUGAGAGCUGCAGCUGCCGUACCAGGCAGUGAUGCUCGCAGAAAGCACAGACCCCACUGUUUGCCAAUUUGAAUUUACAAAUGUGCAAAAAAACAAAUUCCAUUUACAUGCAUUUGUUUUAAGAUUAAUAUGACUAAAUCUGCGCAACUUUCCGGCUGGUCUGUGAUUUAUAAAGGGAAAGUGCGUGCAGGUGUGCGUAGACAGGGUUUUAUAAAUCAGAUUUUUUUUUGGCCUACGCACUUUUCAGCUUUUUGACUUACGUACACUUUUAGUAUGGAUCCUACGCCAGGUUUUUAUAAAUGAGGCCCCUGAUUUUUUUUUUGGCCUACGCACUUUUCAGCUUUUCGACUUACGUACACUUUUAGUAUGGAUCCUACGCCAGGUUUUAUAAAUGAG